AGUACGUUUAUGGUUUUCGCUUUUUGUAAAUCGUGCAGACCCGUGAUAGGUGGCACCUCGAUAAACGGUACGGGCCCGUGAUAGGCAGUACGUUUAUGGUUUUCGCUUUUUGUAAAUCGUGCAGACCCGUGAUAGGUGGCACCUCGGUAAACGAUACGGGCCCGUGAUAGGCAGUACGUUUAUGGUUUUCGCUUUUUGUAAAUCGUGCAGACCCGUGAUAGGUGGC
This 226-nucleotide long non-coding RNA is filed under the name Cicer arietinum (chickpea). RNAcentral's name for it is "long non-coding RNA (CARI_LNC001971)". The record is from RNAcentral. Lineage: Eukaryota; Viridiplantae; Streptophyta; Magnoliopsida; Fabales; Fabaceae.